CUAGCGUUGUUCGGAUUUACUGGGCGUAAAGCGCACGUAGGCGGAUCGAUCAGUCAGGGGUGAAAUCCCAGGGCUCAACCCUGGAACUGCCUUUGAUACUGUCGAUCUGGAGUAUGGAAGAGGUGAGUGGAAUUCCGAGUGUAGAGGUGAAAUUCGUAGAUAUUCGGAGGAACACCAGUGGCGAAGGCGGCUCACUGGUCCAUUACUGACGCUGAGGUGCGAAAGCGUGGGGAGCAAACAGG
RNAcentral lists this ribosomal RNA (242 nucleotides) under uncultured bacterium. Its description in RNAcentral is "partial 16S ribosomal RNA". It matches the Rfam family "Bacterial small subunit ribosomal RNA", at positions 535 to 776 of the family's 1533-position model. The record is from RNAcentral.